UUUUUUUUUUUUUUUUUUUUUUUUUUAAUUAACACUGCAAGGGGAAAGUGGCAGGAUGUGAGAACACAGCACAGCAGUAAGGUAGGGUGAUGUAUCCUGGCCUGGGCAUCCUGAUGUCAGCCCAUAUUUCACUUGCACACUCCAUAGCCUUGUGAACAGCAGAGGAUGGUACCAAACACAUCUCCUCACUCUUACCCCUUUCUUCCAAGAAAGGAGACAACAGUGUCUAGAAGAGCACAUGUGUCAUUUCUUACAUUGUGUCUCUUUUCCCUUCCCCAUUCCUGGUGGAAGAAAACUCAAAAGAUCUUUUGACUUGAAUAAUUGCCCAUUUAGGAAAGCCAGACUGUUCACCACAUAAUUUUUUUAAAUAAGUUAAAUCAUUGUUUUCAUGGGGUUGAUUCCCAGCUUAUCUCAAGAGUUCUCUAAGCAUAUUGUUGAAAACCAGUGUAUCACUCUUAGGGUCUUUUCUUCCAAGCAGCCACCUCUUCCUGUGAAUUAUUUCAGCAGUACCUUUGUGACAGUGUUUUCAAAGCACCCUCCAAGUUCUCAGCUUCUAUGUACUGUCCACCAAAUGAGUGAAGAAUAGGCAAGAGGGAAGAGAACCUUGCUGACAACUAUGGAAAAGGGAAAUAUGCUCCAUAGAAGCAUCAAUGACCUAGAAUAAAAUGAGCUAUUCAGAAUUUUGCCCUGACGGAGUGAAGAUUCCCAGCAUGUUAGGCAAGAUAGAGGUGCACCUUGUUUGGUUACACAGUUUUGUUCUAAAAUCCUAUAGAGGACUGAAACAACAGUCUUCCCACUUCUACAAGCAAACUAGGAAAAGGAACUCCUCUGCUUAAAGGUCCCUCAGGAUAUUUGCCUGAAAAGAAAAACAACUUAGAAACCCUACGUUCUCUCCCACAAUGAUGUAUCCUUCUAGAGCACAUGCCAAGUGCUCGUUUGAACAUCUUUGCCCUCUAAGAACCUAGAUCCAGCUAUAGGCACUGCUACCAGUAGAGAAGUAUGGAAGCCAGUGGUAAGGAAGACGUCUCUCCUUUCACAUUUCAUGCAGCAAUGACUCCCAGUUCUUCCUCAGCAGACUACACCACAGAGUUCUGUUCAGUACCAGGAGACUCAAUGCCAGAAAAGUGCCAGAAAAACCCAGCUGAUAGUGGGAUAAGAACACCUUCAAGGCUAAUUGAGCAAUAAGAUCUGCAAUACCAUUCAAAGGCAUUCCAAUCUUUGUGUUUUUUUGUUUGUUUUUUGUUUUUUGCUUUUUAGGGCCGCACCCACAGCACAUGGAAGUUCCCGGGCUAGGGCUUGAAUCACAGCUAUAGCUGCCAGCCUACACCACAGCCACAGUGAUGCCAGAUCUGAGCCUUGUCUGUGACCUACACCACAGCUCACAGCAAUGCCGGAUCCCUGACCCACUGAGUGAGGCCAGGGAUCGAACCUGCAUCCUCAUGGAUACUGGUUGGAUUCAUUUCCUUAGUGCCACAACGGGAGCUCCCAGGGUUUCCAAUCUUGAUGUGAGUCUCUGUUUAGUGUCUCAAGGGACUCAUGGUGACCAUGAUCAGCCCUAACAUGGCACCCACUUAUGAAGCAUGGAGGUUGUGAUCAAUUCUUGAUAUGCAGUAAACCUGAAGCUUCUUUUAAAAGGAAUUUAAAGCAACCUAAUAAUGUUUCUUGUUGGUCUCCAUUGCCUGACUGCCAGGGAAUAUACCUAAUUAAUCUGGGAAGGCUGUAAGGGUGUAUGUGGAGUAAACCUUCAUGUUCAUCAACUCCAGCUUCAUUGUGUGGCCAACACAAAAGCAGAAACUUGGUACCUGCAUGCCAAGGGUCUUCUGAACCCACAUGGUAAUUCUCACUAAUCAUGGAGGAAGCCUAGGUCCAGUGGUACUCAGUAUUGAGGAAAGAUGGAGAAAAGACUUGGGCCCCUCAAGUUCUGUUUCAUUCAGUAUAACUUCAUGCCCCCUCAGUUAGCUGGAGGCUGACUUGGCAGUGGAAGCCAGCGUCAUGGAAUGGUAGGCUAAUAGAAGCCAUUCUGGAAGCAAUGCUGCCAAGAAGCAGUAUAUUCUGCAUAACUGAUUGUUACCUUCUCACUUUGGUACCUAGUGAGUUUUAUCAUUUUUCUGAAUUCACUGGUAGUUGGAGCCUGAAAGCCACCUUUCUUGAGCAAGGAGUCUAUUGUCUGGAUUUGAUCCCAGUCUUGUUCCUUAGGAACCUCAGGUAAACCUUUUUCAUUGAUGAAUUCACCUUGAUUCCCAUGGCCUCCUACUUCCCAGUCCAUGUAAUCACUGGCUUUCUCAAAAAAGUUACUUAAGGAGGGAGACAGAGCUUUAGUUUAGGCAACUAGCUCCUCUCGAGUCAGGUGGGGAAAUGGGCUAUCCUUAAGUGCACUGGUUAACAUAUUCCCUGAGUCCUGAAUGAAGCUUCCUGGCUAAGAAGGCCCUAAUGCAGCCAUGAAGUUCCUCCCUGUCUUCCAUGUCACAAAGAGUGGAUAGGGGUCAUUGGUAAAUCUAGGAAGCCAUGGCUAUGGAAAGCCAUACAGGUGAUAGUAGAGGAUAUCAGGAGGACAUCUCUGCCAUCACCGCCAGAUUCUAGGUGGUGUUGGCAAUUACAUUGGGCCAGGGGAAAGGGCUCAGUACUCCUUUUUUUUUUAAUUUUUUUUAGGGCUGCACUCACAGCAUAUGGAAGUUCCCAGGCUAGGAGACGAAUCAGAGCUGUAGCCACCAGCUUAUGCCACAGCCACAGCAACGCCAGAUCCAAGCCGUGUCUGUGGCCUACACCACAGCUCAUAGCAGCACCAGAUCCUUAACCCCCUGAGAGAAGCCAGGGAUCAAACCCGCAUCCUCAUGGAUACUAGUCAGGUUCAUUAACCACUGAGUCACAGUGCGAACUCCCAGGGCUCAGUACUCCUGAUGCAGAAUUCAUUCGUGUAAUGAGAACAUCUCCAGGUCCCAGAGUUAAGUCUGGCACAUUCUCCCACCUGCUGCUGCCAUCCAUGUGCUGGUGGUUUUAAGGAGGUUCUGAAGUAGAGUUGAAGACAGUUGUCUGGUUCCUAUGACAUUGCAUUCCACUUCCAGAUAACAUGGGCUUCUGAUAGCCUGCUGCCAAUUUGGGCUAGAGUGAAGGAAUGCAUGUCUCUUCUGCCGCCAACUUCACCCUAGUCCUGAUUCAGUGGUUGAAGUCUGGAAUGCUGUAAGAAUCUGUUAUUGGAACACAAUUUGGAACAUUGUUUAUAUUAUGGCUUUGACUGGAAUAUCCUAUUUCAGAAUAUGCAUAGAAUCAGAUAUAGACCACAUAGCUUUAAGGAACUGAGGCUGACUUUAUGGAGCCAAUAAAGCCCCUGGAAAACCAGCCUGUUAACUUGCUUGCUGGAUUCCGAGCAGCUUUUCCAGGUAAAUAAGGAAGGUGUCUUCCUGUGGGCCCAGAAACCUCAAGACAUUUGGUGAACCUCAAGAAGAAAGGAAUUAAAUCUAUAGAUAUUAUAGGUGAAGUUUGAUGACAAGUUCUAGGCUUGGCUUCUUAGCCUCAAGAAGGUUUUAAAAUGUGCAAAUUGAGAUUCCUUAUGAAAAGUUUCAGCAAAGCAAAUUUUUAAAGAGCUUCGAUUGUCAAUCACUACUCUUGCUAUAGUUAUGUAAAUAUCAAGCCAGGUUUAGUCAAACGACUUAUUUUGCAAACAAAGUAGUCUUACUGUGGUUAUCUUUAAUAGAAAUGAGAGUGAUUGUAAAGAGAAAAAUAUGCUCAGUAAAAAACUAUAACACAUUCUUAUAGAUAACAGUUUCUAUUCCUGUUCAUUAUCUUUGAGUUUCAUUGUCUAGCUGUAAACUGGACUUGAUUGUGAAAUCUUACAGUUUCCCCAGAUACUGACUACAACUCUCCAAACUGACAUUUCUCCUACCCUUCUGUUUUGAAGUCAAUAAGAACAGAGUUCCUUGGAACCUCCUUGAAAGAGACCAUACCAGAUCCCUCUCACUACCCAGAUAGCAGCCAAACUUCAGACACUUGAAUCUUGGGUCUACAUCUCCCAAUAAAUGAUCACUUCCAGACUCUUGGAACUGCAUACCAGCUGGGAGUCUAAGAUUAACAUUGACUAGGGAGGUUCCUCUGCAGAAGCAGAUGGCAUCUUGAAGUGGAUGGCUCACCCAAGAUCACAGAUCAAGAUCUUUAUCUACAGUAUGAAACUUUUAUUCCUCUUGCCUUUUAGUACUUGAUUUUUCUCUCUCUUAGUGAGUGGGAAGACAGUUCCCCUUAAUUCUGGCAACUAUUGUGGAGUCUAUGAAAAAGGCCAUAACUAUACAUAGACUUUCUUUCUUGCUAAAAUGGCUUUAGAUAAGAGAAUUCCUUUAGAUUACCUAUUGGCUGAACAAGGAGGAGUCUGUGCCAUAUUAAAUACCUGGAUCAACUCCUCUGGUAUUUUAGCAAAUACAAGGAAUUAACAAACAAGACACUCAGCUAAAACAAGUUGAUGCUUUUCAGGUACAUUCUUUGAUUUAUUUGAUGCCAACUAGUUUGGUUCAUGGGGCCCCUACCUAAAAAGCAUACAUUACUGUCUUGGUAUUAUCCUCCUGAUAGUCAUCACUGUAGUCUCCCUGGUGCUCUGUGUUCUCUAAACGGUCUUAAAUGCAUGUUCACAGCCAUCAGAUGGUCUCACUGCACUUGAAGAAACAAGAACAAGGUGAACAAGAUAAACAGCAGAAGUAAUUCUUCCAUGGACCUGAUAUCAUAAUCUAUAAGUUUUAAUGGUGAGACAGGAACAACUUUAAUGGUGACAGAGAGUGGCACUAAUACCAAAAGGCAGAAUCGUUAAAAUAAUUAAGGAGACCAUCAGACUGAGGUAGCUCUAAUGCCAUGUAUGUAAACCAAAAUCUAAGCCUGUAAAUGCCUGAAGGUUACAAAAUCAAAAACUAAGGACAAGCGGAGUUCCCUGGCGGUUCAGUGGGUUAAAGAUCUGGCAUUGUCAUUGCUGUGGCUUAGGUUGCUGCUGUGGUGCAGGUUUGAUCCCUGGCCAGGGAACUUUCCCAUGCCAUGGACAUAGCCAAAAUAAUAAUAAAGGACAACCAAUCACAAACAGCCAAAUGGACUUUAAGCUUUUUGCCAGACAAAUAAUUUCCUCUCUUUAAUUCAGUACCUUCCCUAGGUAAGUCAUUCUCCUAGCUCCUGUUGGUGGAGCACUCCUAAUCACUUCCUAUUUGGAGCUCAAUUAGAAUCAAUCUUUGUUAAAUUAAACCCUUAAAUUUUUUAAUAUGCCUCAAUUUAUCUUUCAUCAGAACUCAAAAAGAGAAGAACAGUCUGUGUUAUUUUUUUGCUUUUUAGGGCUGCACCCAUGGCAUACAGAAGUUCCCAGGCUAGGGGGUCAAAUCAAAGCUGUAGCUGCCAGCCACAGCAACCAACAGCGGAUCCGAGGUAUGUCUGCGACCUACACCACAACUCAAGGCAACGCUGGAUCCUUAACCCGCUGAGCGAGGCCAGGUAUCAAACCCACAUCCUCAUGGAUACUAGUCAGGUUUGUUACCACUGAGCCACAACGGGAAGUCCCAAGAACAAACAGUCUAUUAUAUUUCACCAGGUAUUUAUCAUCCUGUUCCUUUUCCUCUGCAAGUACAGUCAUAUUUCCGUCUAAGAUAAAAUUUCAGCUUCUUGACAAUUUAUACCCUGCCUUUCUUCACUAGCAACACCAAUCGAAUGUCAUUCAAUGUCAAUAAACAGCCAUUUGCAUCCUAAUUUCAGUGCUUACAAGAAUACUAAUGGCCCAUAAAAAUAUGAGAGUAGUAGAAUUAGCUAACAUUUGUUUUGGGUCAAGUAACAUUUAUUCUCAGAAUUGCAGUGUGACAUUCUCAUCCUUGUUUUACAGAUGAAGAUAAUGAAGAACUAGGAAGAAGUUAAAUAUUUUGCCUAAGCUUGCAUACUUAGAAAGUAGCACAUCAUGGAUUUGAACCUAAAUAGCAUGGCUCCAGAGCCCAUAAAUACUUAGGGUGAAAGAACUUGAAACACAGAAGAACACAGAUUAACUACCAAGUUUGAGCCACAGAAACCCAAACUGACACACUGAUGUACAUACUAAUGCAUUAUCAAAAUUUGUACUUAGCUUUUUUCUAUAAAUGGAUAUUCUUUGAAUAUACUUCUACAACACUAAAAUUUCAAGUACGUUAGUUAUCUGUAAAAGUAUUUUCUGUUUUCAGAUUUUUACUUUAAUUUUCCUGUUUACAAUAUUUCAAGCAACACAGAAAUGUAUACUUACAAUAUGAAAUUACUCUGACUCUCCCUUCUGCUUGAUACCUGGCCUCUAACCCAAAGAUGUCCACUAUCAAUAGAUUGGUGCAUGUUCCAGGUGUGUUUCUCUAUAGGUAAAGCAUUAUCAAACAGAGAUACACAAAAAUAUUUAUUCGUAUGUUUUCUUUUUCAUUAUAGAAUCACAUUCAUAUUUUGCAACUUGCCUUUUUUCAUUAAAAAUAACAG
Molecule: long non-coding RNA, 6438 nt
Filed under: Sus scrofa (pig)
Lineage: Eukaryota; Metazoa; Chordata; Mammalia; Artiodactyla; Suidae
Description: lncRNA (ENSSSCG00000056010.1)
Source: RNAcentral